Molecule: transfer RNA, 76 nt
Filed under: Gammaproteobacteria bacterium
Lineage: Bacteria; Pseudomonadati; Pseudomonadota; Gammaproteobacteria
Also listed under: 1 other name
Description: tRNA-Lys
Rfam family: tRNA
About the family: Transfer RNA (tRNA) molecules are approximately 80 nucleotides in length. Their secondary structure includes four short double-helical elements and three loops (D, anti-codon, and T loops).
Source: RNAcentral
GGGCCGUUAGCUCAGUUGGCAGAGCAGCUGACUCUUAAUCAGCGGGUCCUAGGUUCGAAUCCUAGACGGCCCACCA